ACAAUGAUACUUCUCUACGGAGCCGGUGGCGUACCCAGCGGGGGCGAGAACCCAUGA
RNAcentral lists this non-coding RNA (57 nucleotides) under unclassified sequences. RNAcentral describes it as "pemK RNA". It matches the Rfam family "pemK RNA". The record is from RNAcentral.